AAAAAAUGUUUAUGCAACAAGGUUGCAUAUGUUGCAAUGACAAGUUACAGGACUACCUUUCUCUUUUGCUUCGAUUUAUCAGAAGAUCCUGACCCAGGAUUACCUUCCUGAGUGUUAUCCAACUCCCUUCUUAUAGCAAUAACUUUUUGAAGGGCUUCAUUAUUUCGCCUUAUCCUUUCUUGCCUCUCUUCCUCGUACUUAUUGCCUUCUCCGCCUGCCAUUUUUUU
RNAcentral lists this long non-coding RNA (227 nucleotides) under Oryza brachyantha (malo sina). RNAcentral's name for it is "long non-coding RNA (OBRA_LNC003652)". The record is from RNAcentral. Lineage: Eukaryota; Viridiplantae; Streptophyta; Magnoliopsida; Poales; Poaceae.